CAGUUCGGAUCGCAGUCUGCAACUCGACUGCGUGAAGGCGGAGUCGCUAGUAAUCGCGGAUCAGCAACGCCGCGGUGAAUGCGUUCCCGGGCCUUGUACACACCGCCCGUCAAGUCAUGAAAGUGGGUAGCACCCGAAGCCGGUGGCCCGACCCUCGUGGGGGGGGAGCCGUCUAAGGUGAGACUCGUGAUUGGGACUAAGUCGUAACAAGGUAGC
This 216-nucleotide ribosomal RNA is filed under the name uncultured bacterium. Its description in RNAcentral is "partial 16S ribosomal RNA". It matches the Rfam family "Bacterial small subunit ribosomal RNA", at positions 1289 to 1500 of the family's 1533-position model. The record is from RNAcentral.